UGGGGAAUUUUGGACAAUGGGCGCAAGCCUGAUCCAGCCAUGCCGCGUGCAGGAAGAAGGUCUUCGGGUUGUAAACUGCUUUUGUACGGAGCGAAAAGCCCCUGGCGAAUAACCGGGGGCCAUGACGGUACCGUAAGAAUAAGCACCGGCUAACUACGUGCCAGCAGCCGCGGUAAUACGUAGGGUGCAAGCGUUAAUCGGAAUUACUGGGCGUAAAGCGUGCGCAGGCGGUUUUGUAAGACAGAGGUGACAUCCCCGGGCUCAACCUGGGAACUGCCUUUGUGACUGCAAAGCUGGAGUGCGGCAGAGGGGGAUGGAAUUCCGCGUGUAGCAGUGAAAUGCGUAGAUAUGCGGAGGAACACCGAUGGCGAAGGCAAUCCCCUGGGCCUGCACUGACGCUCAUGCACGAAAGCGUGGGGAGCAAACA
Molecule: ribosomal RNA, 427 nt
Filed under: uncultured bacterium
Lineage: Bacteria
Description: bacterial SSU rRNA
Rfam family: Bacterial small subunit ribosomal RNA
Source: RNAcentral